CUCCCCCUCCCGAUCGCGUCACACUCAAGGUCCAAAGAUGAUGUGCGCACUUGUCUGUGGUCAUUUCCCAUUAUAAUGAAUGGGAGGCGCAGUUUCUACCAAAACACUUGCUGCAGACAAACUACAUGUCCUAUUUGAAAAAAGUCUGGACCAUGAGUGAGGGCACAAACACAGCUAGGAUAUAUCCAAACGGCAAGUUGCUCCUCGUUACGGUGUUGCCGGGAGAGCGAUGCGAUUGAGCCAUUGAGUGAUGGGCAGGAAAAACUUGACUGUUUCUCCUGCCAUGGGGGAUGGGGGAUGGGGGGGGGGGGGGGGGGUGGAUUCUUUUAAGAAUGUGGAUAUUUGGGUCAUCUUUGGCGCCCCCUAGAACGUAAACCGUGGGGUGCAGCGUCAUGAUUUUUAAAACUUUGAAUGGCCAUGGGGUGUAGAUUGGCCUGAGCAAAUGUGGUGCCGGUGGAACGAAAGCCUUAGGAGGAGUUAGCGAAAUUACAAUGUGUGCGGAUCGGCAAAAAAUGCGGAAUAACCCUUUAACCGUACAUUUGACAGAUACGCGCGCAUUGACUUUUUCGUAGAUCUUAUUGAGAUACAUGUGUGUGUCAAUUUUUGUGUCAUUUUGCCAAAGCGUACAGGUGUUACACUCAACAAUGUGUAUUUUCACCUUAGGGGACAAGAAAAAAUGGACUUUUUUCUCCUGCCAUGGGGGGGCGCUCUUUUGGGGAGUAAAAAUUCCUUCACAAAUGUGUUGAUGGCUGGACAUUGCAUCAUCCUAAAAAACUUGGAGGCCAGUGAGGGCAAAAAUAAAAAGUUAUAAGACUUUUAAAUAUGUGGAUCUUAGGGUUAUCUUUGGCGCCCCCUAGAACCUAAACCGUGGGGUGCAGCGUCAUGAUUUGAAUAACUUUUAAUGGCCAUGGGGUGUAGAUUGGCCUGAGCAAAUGUGGUGCCGGUGGAACGAAAGCCUUCGGAGGACUUAGCGAAAUUCCAAUGUGUGCGGAUCGGCAAAAAAUGCGCAAUAACCCUUUAACCGUACAUUUGACAGAUACGCGCGCAUUGACUUUUUCGUAGAUCUUAUUGAGAUACAUGUGUGUGUCAAUUUUUGUGUCAUUUUGCCAAAGCGUACAGGCGUGACAGUCAAUAGUGUGAAUUUUCACCUUAGGGGGCGCUAUGGAGCCAUUUUGCAUUUUCUUGUUUGGGCGACUUCGGAAUAUCAAAUUUUUCACCAGGCCCGGUCGUCCGGCCAAAUUUCAUGAGUUUUCGCCAGUGGGAAGUGGGCCAUUUUCCAGUUCAAAGGGGAGGAAAAAUAAUAACUAGGGCCCCGUUGGGGCACUGGCGGGCCCGAGCCACGUUGCGCCGCCCCCAGUGCGACCGCCUCCCCCUCCCGAUCGUGUCCCACUCAAGGUCCAAAGAUGGUGUGCGCACUUGUCUGUGGUCAUUUCCCAUUAUAAUGAAUGGGAGGUGCAGUUUCUACCAAAACACUCGCUGCAGACAAACUACAUGUCCUAUUUGAAAAAAGUCUGGACCAUGAGUUAGGGCACAAACACAGCUAGGAUAUAUCCAAACGGCAAGUUGCUCCUCGUUACGGU
This 1580-nucleotide long non-coding RNA is filed under the name Xyrichtys novacula (pearly razorfish). Lineage: Eukaryota; Metazoa; Chordata; Actinopteri; Labriformes; Labridae. The record is from RNAcentral.